Molecule: long non-coding RNA, 7243 nt
Organism: Camelus dromedarius (Arabian camel)
Lineage: Eukaryota; Metazoa; Chordata; Mammalia; Artiodactyla; Camelidae
Exons: 14
Source: RefSeq, a predicted model, not a curated record
CCGCCUCCAGCGCCACCUCGUAUCUCCUCAAUCCCGACAUGUCCUGGGUUCCGAACGUGUCCUGGGGAGCGGCAUGAUUGGAUCAAGGAUUCCCCAACCCCAGGUCCCUUUCUGUCAUUCUCGGGACCCGACUGACUUGUUCUCGGGUAAUAUGAGACAGGUGCCCCCGGGAAGACUCAAUUGCCACAUCAGGACAGGGUGGGAUUGAAGAUUUGGGAGGCAUCAGACGUUAAGGGAUUGGGCAGUCGGUCAGCUUGGGGGCAUGGGGUAUUUAGGGAAUUAGGGUCAACGGCUUGGAGGUCAUGGGGCUGGGAUAUUUGGGGGCCCGGGUGAGGAUUUUCGGGGGCUGGGGUCACCUGGAGGGGGGCUGAGGGGUCGGCGCAGCCUAAACUCCCGCCCUCCCUGGCUCCACCCCGGAAACAGACCGCUACGUUACGUCACAGGGACACCGUCGCGCACUAGGGGUGGGGCUUACGUAUUACCCGGAAGGGGCGGAUCCAGGACAUUUCUUCUGAGGAGGCGGAGUCCAAAUGUCACUCCAGGAGGUGGAGCCAAGAGUCUAUCACUAAAGGGGCGGAGUCGGGGCUUACUACUAAGAUGCGGGGCACGGAACCCUCUUUAGUAAGGAUGAAGUGAGAUUUUGGAGCUCCACCCUGGGUGACUGAGACCUCAGUACUAGGCAGCAAGAAAAGAGCUUUGGGACGUAGUCCACUACUAUUUUCCCAAUCCCCUCUCCUUAGUUUCUACUCUUGACAGUUUUCUUUGUCUGCCCCAUUCUACUGGGCAGAGGAGGAACAGGGCUCUGGAGAGGGCUCAGUCUAGACAGGCCAGACUAUGAAAUACUUGUUGGCUGAGUGGCCCUGGCCAAGUCAUUUAAUGGCCAGAAGAUCACAGCUUUUCCUCUCUGAGCUGAGGCCUACCUUCCUGUGAUUUUUGUUCCUAUAGUCAUUAACUAGUCAAAUAUUUAUUAAGUGUCUACUAUGUGCCAGACAACAUGCUGCGCAUAUGGCAGUAAAGAAGACAAGCACAGCUUCUGCCCUCAGAGAGCUUAUCAUCUGGAUUGUAGAGGGUGAAAUCAAAAGAGACAAUAAAAUCACUAUGAUAAACGCAGCUGACUGGCUGGGAGCAGUAGAGGGUGCUGCAAUAAAGCCAGGAAAGAGUGAUUAAGCCAGUGUGGGAGGUUGGAAAUAGCUGCCCUAGUUGGACUGCGGAGUGGGGAAGGGAGCCUUGUGGCUGGAUGGAAGGCAGAGAAUGACCAGAAGUAACUGAAAUUAAAGUUCCCCCAGGCUGAAGUGUGGAGAAUGUAUACACCUAUCCUCUCCCCCAUUCCACCCUCUUUCUCCCUUUCAUGCCUGCCUUCCCCUGCCUGGGCUACAUACAGACAGGUGACAGACAGAUCCGUGGAUGCCAGUUGGAAGCACUGCAGUCUGGGCAUGGAGAAGCUGUGCCACACUCACCCUCGCUCACGCUCACACUCACAGUAACACUCCUGCCCUGCCCCAGCCAGGACUGGUUUGGGGGUGCAGCAUGGUGAACCUAGAGUUGGAGCAAAUGGACUUUGGAACCCAGCUUCCCGGCAGUCCUCGGUGUGAAGGGAAGAAGUUGAGGACCACAUCUGGGAAACUUUCAGGGGCCUCCUUGUGAGAAGGGGCUCAGCAAGAAGAAGUGACACCAGAUCCCUGAGACACCUGGAUCCUUGAUCACCUGCCCGGGGGGCUGAGAGAGUUUGGCUCGUUCAGGGAACCGACACAGCACCAGGCAGUCUGAGAUGGACACAUCCCCGCAACCCGCCGCCACCCUAAGCCUCCCCUCAGCCUUACCAGAGGACGUCCAGAGGAUCAGCAGGCUGAGGACCAGCAGUGCGGCUGCAUGGGAUGCCAUGGAGAGUGAGCAGAGACGAACUGCCAGCUCCCCCUGGCUGUUGGAUGGAGGAUCGACCAAAGUGGUGCAAGAAUAGAAGCCUGGAGGCGGGAUUGGAGGCAACUGCAACAGUCCAGGGAGGACAGGAGAUUGCUGGGAGUCGUUGAGAAGUGGUCAGAUUCUGGAAAUACUUUGAAGGUAGAGCCAAUGGGCUCUGCUCUCAGAGUUCAGCAAAGGAUAUGAGAAAGAAGAGAAAGAGACAGAGAAAAUAUGGCAACGUUUCUGGCUUAAGCAAUGUGAUGGUUGGAGUUACAUCUACCCAGAUGUGAAGGACUGCAGAGGAGUGGGUUUGUGGGAAGGCCUAGCACGGUGGCCAUCCAGCCCAGAUCUCAGGCCCCGGGCCCCAUGGGUGGAAGAUUUAAGGCACCAACUCCCAAGCCUUUGGUUUAGAUGGUCCACUGGAGGAGGGAGUCGGGGGAGGUCGGAGACCAGGGAGGUGGGUGGGUCUGUAACAGUUUCUGACCAGGCACACAGAGCCCUCAGCGUGCUAUAUGCUUCACCUAGUUCACCCUCUUCUCAGCCAACUGGGUUCCUGGUUCAGUGUGAGCUCUGGACAAAUCUCCCAGCUCAGGGCAGUUCAGCCCAGCCUGGCACCACACUCUUCCUAGAAGCCCGCGCAGGUUUCAUGCUCCCUGGUCUGACCAAAUCCAUGCCCCAGGGGUCGCAAAUCUUGGAUGGAGGGCACUUUAUCCAUUGCGGCAGGGAAGAGAGCAGCUGGGCCUGGGAAGGCAACCAAGGCCAGGUAGAGGUGGGAGUACAGAGGGGUAAAGGGUUGUGGGGAGAGGAUCUAGAUUAGAUACUUAGUAAAUGUCUGUUGAAUGUAUGAAUGUGCGUCUCCCGAGCUGUGUCCGUGGGACUGAGCGUGACUGUUGUGCCUGUCAUCCGUGUGUGUGAGCUGUCUGUGGUUGUCUACGUCUGUGUGCCUGACUGAUGUACCUCCCCUCCCUGGCCUGCAGAGGGCGCCCCAGGCCGGGAAGGAAGCUCUGGAGGGGGCGCAGCUCUGGAGGAGGGGCAGGGGUACGCUGGCGAGCGAAGGGGUGCUUUGACAAGGAUGGAGUGCGGCCCGGACCGGGCGGGCUCCCCAGAGAGGCUGGGAAGGGCGUUGGGCCCAAAGUCCGUGGGCCUGGCAUUGCCCUUCGUGCUCUUCGCUGCUCCAGGCCCCCGCUGGUCCCGUGGCCGAGGGUCCCGCCCCGGGUCCCGGCGCGCGGGCGGAACGUGCGGAGUAGAGGCUUGGGCUGUGGGUGGGACCCGCAACCCCGCGGACCUGGGGUCAGCGUGGGCCCAGGAGCCCCCGGGCGGCGGUUACCCGGGCCAGGCUCAGCGGCCGUCCCGCCAGAUUUCCGCCCCUCGGGCCCCGAACCCGCGGGUACUCGGGUUGUGGCGGUGUUUGUGAGUAUUUGUCUCCCCAACCCCAGAUAUUCCCAGCUUAUCCUGAGUCCAAGCCACCCAAUGUGGAAGAUAUGAAAUAAUGUUUAUAUUAAAGGCCAAAGUACAUUCACAUUACCUCUGGGACUUCCUUCGCGGCAUGAAUACCCGCACUCGGGUUAAACUUCGUAAUUACGGUGCUAACUCUGAAAAUGGGUUCUUUAACGGAGGUUUAUUGAAAGCCUAACUGUGUGCUCGGGGCGAUGCUUGGUGCCUGAGGAUGAAGUGCUUUCACCUGGAUAAGGACGGAAAGCGAGUUUGGCCUGCUCAUCAAUGGACACAGGAAAAUGAUAGACUUUUGGCCUAGCAUGAAACACAUUUGAGGACAAAUAAUAAAGAUUAAAAAAAGAAAAAGAAAAAGAAAAACUGACCCCAGAAAGAUGAAGGAAAUGAGAACAGCAGUAUUCAACCCACAAACUUGUUUGCCUUUGGAGAACCGAGGACCGCCGCGACGAUGCUGCCUCCUGGUGGCGGAGCCGGGCAAUGAGGCCUAGUGGAGCUUCGCAUCCAUUGGGUGUAUUCUGAACCCAAAUUGGCGCCGGCUGCUCAGCAUCACUUUGUUCCCAAAUACAAGGAGAAGUAACACCUGGACAUGGGAAAGAAAAAGAACUUCACAGAAGAGGCCAGCUGAAGCUGAAGACAUUUUUACAGGUGUGAGAUGUGAAAUUAGCCAGGAAUGAUGCAUCUGAAAUAAAUAUAAAAAGAUAUCGCUGUUAGAGAGUACCAAGAAUCUUUAUGUACACUGAUAUGGCAGUAAGUAAAUAUAACUUGAAGCUGAUUUUGUUAAUUUCUCAAGCACCUCAUGUGCAUAUCUUGGAGCCUGCAGCCCUGAACCAAGACUUCUCUUGAUCCUCAGGCCAGCCUGGAUGUGGACUUUAAGGAAGGGGUCACAGAGACUAGGAUGGCUACACAUUGGAGAUGAGACACACUGCAACAUCUGCUGCCCCUUGGCAAAGGGACCUUCUGGAACCAAACCCAUCUUUUCAAAAUAGGACACCCAUUCUUCUUCCUUUGCCUGGAUUCCAGGACGAGAGAAGGAUUCCAGGAACCGGGGAAGAGUGAAGAGGAAGACAGAAUAACUUUGCCUCCUCUUUGUCAUUGAUACUCAGUGGGGAAAAUGAUCAGGUGACUGUUUUACCUCUACAAGUGAUUUAAUUCUUGGUGCAAUUACUUACAUUCAUGGGGCAGAGGGGGGCCACUGGGAGUUCUGUCUAUAUAAGGACAGAAGACCCAUCAAACAGAGUGGAGGUUUGUCAACAAAACCUCCACCUCUUCAGCAAAGGCAGACAAAAAGCUGAAGACCCCUCCAGUUUGGACCCUCUCUCACUCUUACCAUGGCCAGUUUUUCUCCAAAGAACCCUGUGACACAUUUUUGUCCCUCUGCUUCAGCAGCGUCACGAAGAUCAGCCUUGUUUCCUACCAACAUGAUAGGAAUGCUCUCAUGGGCUGCAUCCUACCACGAAGAAAAGAACAAAGUUGUGCAGAUGUCAAACACUGGACAAGUUAUGAGGAAGAUGACUACAACGGCCACCACUUCCAAAUGCCCCUGAUGUGCCACGUGAUGUACAAUGUCUUUAAACCUCAAACUGGCUCUAAAAAGAGCCAAACUUUUCCCCACUGCCAGGUGAGAACACUGAAGUUCAGAGCGGUUCAAGAAGACCUUGUGAGGGCCGGGGCCAGGGUUCAACAGACUCCAUCGCCCUUCCCACUAUACAAACCAAUACAAACUCAAGAGGCAGGACCACAGAAUUCUAUCUGGCUGUGGUGCCCACAUUAUUUUCUACAAUUUUCACUCCUAACAGUGGUUACUACAAGUCAACUUCAUUAUCCCAGGUACAAAACACACGAGCAUUCCCUCAGCUGUAAUGGGGCAAAAGUGAAGUUUGGCAGUUCCACACCCGCUGCUGUCUGGUUUAUAACAGAAGCACAAUAUGAAGGCCUCAAGGUCAACGUUCUUCUUGUGAGGAGUCAAGGAAUGAUCAUUCAGAGCACCGGAUCCUUGGAAUGAGGCCCCCGAGGCAGCACAGCGCUCCGCCGCACCAUCCCAGCACUCAGAGGAGCUGGCUGGCAGGAUGGAAGAGCGGGGAGGCAGCCAAGUUUGAGACCCCGCCCUGGCCGCUGUCUCCGCCUGUUUCUGCCUCCGUUUCCCUAACUGGAAAAUGAAGGGGUCAGUGACGGCACAUCCCACCUCAGCAAGCUAUGAUGAGAACAGAAGACAACCUGACUAGAAAAACAGGUUUCUGGUUCCUGGACAAGAGAAGCAGCAGCCCUGACUGAGAUGUGGGGAAAUGACUCUGCAGCACCUAAAGACAUCCAGGUGCUCAUCCAGUGUGGUGCUGCACCUGGCAUGGAAUCAGGACAUGAGCCUUAAAGACAGUGAAAUUAUAUCUGACUUCCUUUCUCUUCGGACCAUUUUCCUCCAACCAAACUCACCAGAGUGAAAUAAAAGCGCAGGGGAGCAGGAAAUGAAAGGCCCACCCAAACCAGACAGCCCGCCCACUAAUGUGUUAAGUAACUGUGUUCAGUGGGGAACUGCUCGGGAUCCAGAGGGGCCUCAGAGGGAAGCCGUUAAUCAAAUAUUCGAUGAAGUAAGCCAAGAAUCCGAGCGUCUAAAUGACUUCUCAAAGUCAUACAGAAGCUCACUUUAGCAGCAUCCUUGGCUCUGUGGGAACUUGCCCAGCUGCUGAGGAAGAGACCGAUACUGGGAACCUGCUUCUCAAUCCAGUCCUUCCUGACAGCCUGGAUCAGGGGUUUCUACUCAAGUUCACUUGGACAGAGAAGAGAAACAGCAUUUUCCGAGACAGCCUCUAACUUUCCCGUACUAGCCCCAUAAGGAGAAAGACUUCUUCCUCCUACUUGCUGCUCUAUCCUCAGCUCCUGGCAUACCUGAACCACAAAAGGUGCUGAGUGAAAACCUGCUGAAUGAAUGAAUGAAUGAACAGGAUUCUUGUAAUAUAUCAGCUCUAUAAUUGCCACAGAAAAAAGGAACAGUGCAGGUCAUUAGACUCAGAAUUUCUUCCACCUGCGAGAAAUGAAGUCCAGCACAGUGUGACCUUCCCACGCGUCACUCUCACCCGUCCACGAGUCUUCAAACCUUGGUGUUCAAAGAGCUAAUCAUCAAUUCAAGAUGACACCAAUGGAAGGUUUUCACACGGCUGUCUGAAACCAAGAGGGCCACUGAUUUUAAGACCAUGCCAAUAUUAAAGAAGAAAAACUGCUGAGGGAAAAAUGAACUUCUCAGAAACAACGGCACAAGAGAUGGUGAGAAGGAACCAAACUUUAGACGCUCAGCACCUCUGGAAUGGAAAUCUGCAAGAGUGAAAGAACUGCGGAAUCCCACCACCUACGUGUGUACAUCACCUGGGGUGAUGCCUCUCAGACUACUACUCAGCUGUGACAGAGGGCUGUGGCACAUCAGUUAACUAGCUAGCUAAUUAUUGCUGUGUUUAAUUAAAAGCUAUGGCACAGCCAAGGGUCCCCGUGCUUGCCUCAACCCUAUCAUGUCUUCAGGACUCAAGAAGGCCUGGUGGGUUUACUGUUUCUCCAAGAGCUUACACCUUAUCUAAAUUCAAAUCACAUCACCUGCAAACUUCUGAGCAAAGUGCUGCCCCACAAGGUUGGUGCUUUUCAUGUGUGUCGCCCCUGGUGCAGAGAAUGGCAAAAGGGGACCCAAAGAGGUCAGGAGCUGAGGUUCUCAUGAGCCCAAAUACCAAAUAUCUCCUAGUUUCCUUUUUCUCUUAACACAUUAUGGAGUUUUAUAUCCUAUGUUCAGUAUUCAAAUAAAGUUUUAAGUUCCUAACAAGUGGCAUUGAGUGUAAUAAGACCUAAAUAAAUGGAGACUACACCAGGUUUGUGAAUCAUUCAUUAUUAGUAACAUGCCAAUUCUCCUCUAAUUGAU